This 253-nucleotide ribosomal RNA is filed under the name uncultured bacterium. RNAcentral's name for it is "partial 16S ribosomal RNA". It matches the Rfam family "Bacterial small subunit ribosomal RNA", at positions 524 to 776 of the family's 1533-position model. The record is from RNAcentral.
UACGAAGGGAGCUAGCGUUGUUCGGAAUUACUGGGCGUAAAGGGCGCGUAGGCGGUCUAAUAAGUCAGGUGUGAAAGCCCUGGGCUCAACCCGGGAACUGCGCUUGAUACUAUUAGUCUUGAAUUCGGGAGAGGUUGGUAGAAUUGCCAGUGUAGAGGUGAAAUUCGUAGAUAUUGGCAAGAAUACCCGUGGCGAAGGCGGCCAACUGGACCGACAUUGACGCUGAGGCGCGAAAGCGUGGGGAGCAAACAGG